RNAcentral lists this ribosomal RNA (749 nucleotides) under Methanosarcina mazei. RNAcentral's name for it is "bacterial SSU rRNA". It matches the Rfam family "Archaeal small subunit ribosomal RNA", at positions 94 to 842 of the family's 1478-position model. Lineage: Archaea; Methanobacteriati; Methanobacteriota; Methanomicrobia; Methanosarcinales; Methanosarcinaceae. The record is from RNAcentral.
UAACACGUGGAUAACCUGCCCUUGGGACCGGCAUAACCCCGGGAAACUGGGGAUAAUUCCGGAUAACGCAUAUUUGCUGGAAUGCUUUAUGCGUCAAAAGGAUUCGUCUGCCCAAGGAUGGGUCUGCGGCCUAUCAGGUAGUAGUGGGUGUAAUGUACCUACUAGCCAGCGACGGGUACGGGUUGUGAGAGCAAGAGCCCGGAGAUGGAUUCUGAGACAUGAAUCCAGGCCCUACGGGGCGCAGCAGGCGCGAAAACUUUACAAUGCGGGAAACCGUGAUAAGGGGACACCGAGUGCCAGCAUCAUAUGCUGGCUGUCCGGAUGUGUAAAAUACAUCCGUUAGCAAGGGCCGGGCAAGACCGGUGCCAGCCGCCGCGGUAACACCGGCGGCCCGAGUGGUGAUCGUGAUUAUUGGGUCUAAAGGGUCCGUAGCCGGUUUGGUCAGUCCUCCGGGAAAUCUGAUAGCUCAACUAUUAGGCUUUCGGGGGAUACUGCCAGACUUGGAACCGGGAGAGGUAAGAGGUACUACAGGGGUAGGAGUGAAAUCUUGUAAUCCCUGUGGGACCACCUGUGGCGAAGGCGUCUUACCAGAACGGGUUCGACGGUGAGGGACGAAAGCUGGGGGCACGAACCGGAUUAGAUACCCGGGUAGUCCCAGCCGUAAACGAUGCUCGCUAGGUGUCAGGCAUGGCGCGACCGUGUCUGGUGCCGCAGGGAAGCCGUGAAGCGAGCCACCUGGAAGUACGCCC